This 221-nucleotide long non-coding RNA is filed under the name Gossypium barbadense (sea-island cotton). RNAcentral describes it as "long non-coding RNA (GBAR_LNC021638)". Lineage: Eukaryota; Viridiplantae; Streptophyta; Magnoliopsida; Malvales; Malvaceae. The record is from RNAcentral.
GGAGUUUUAACAAUCUUUUUGAUUGUAGGAGCCAUCUUCAGCCUUUUUCUUGCCAUUGUUCUUCAUUGGAGGGGAGAUUAGAGCCGUUUGAAGGGAGUUGUGAAGUCUUUCUCGAUUUCAAGGCUUCUUAGGACUUUAUCUUUAUUUUUCUUGUUGUUCAAUCUUUUUAAUUUUUUGCUCGUGUCGAUUUCAUUAUCUAACUUGUUUAAACUCUCUUGUUG